Choloepus didactylus (southern two-toed sloth) is the source of this 1063-nucleotide long non-coding RNA. RefSeq lists it as uncharacterized. NCBI's taxonomy places the organism in Eukaryota, Metazoa, Chordata, Mammalia, Pilosa, Megalonychidae. The transcript has 2 exons. The record is from RefSeq and is a predicted model, not a curated record.
GGUGUUCCAGACGCCAUCGGCCAUUCUUCAGUGAAGUUCCCUGAGAACAAGAACCUUGUUUCUUGUUCAUUGUCGUAUUCUCCAACAAUUAAAACAGUGUUCAACCCAUGGUAAGUACUAAAUAAGUACUGCUUGAAUGAAUGAAUAAAAUGUAUGUGAUUAUUCCUUUAAAAGUUGCCUGCCAGGGUUCUUCAGUAUCUUCCUAUUUGUGAAAAUACAGUCCAAAUCCAACAAUCUUUUAAUAUUAUCCAGUAAUCCUCUUUUUAAUUUUGAUAUAAUAUAUGUAUAAAUUUCUUAACUUUUCAAAAUUUCCUAGUGUUUAUGGGAAACAAUUUUCUUCCCUACUGUUCUAGUAAGGGUUCUCCAGAGAAAUAGAACCAGCAGGAUAUGUAUUUGUAUGUACAAAGUAUAUAAAGAAAUUUAUGUGUUAGGGAAUUGGCUCAUGUGACUGUGGGAAAUGGCAAGUCUGAAAUGUAUAGGGUGGGCUGGCAAGCUAGAAAUUCUGGUGGUAAGGGUGACGUUGCAGUCUUGAGUCCAAAAUCCAUGGGGAGGCCAGUAGGAUGGAAACUCAGAGAGGUGUAGAUGAUGCAGUCUUGAGGCAGAAUUUUUUCUUCCUCUGAAAACCUCAGUUAAUUUAUCUUAAGACCUUCAACUGAUUGGAUGAGGGCCUCCCAUAUUAUCAAAGGUAAUCUCCUUUACUUAAAUCCAACUAAUUGUAGAUGCUAACCACAACUAAAAAAUACUUUCUCAGCAGCAUCCAGACCCGUGUUUGACUAAACAACUGGAUACUAUAACCUAGCCAAGUUGACACAUAAAAUUAACAACAUACCUACCUUCUAUGAAUUACAACAAUGUUAAGGCAUUUUUCUUAUUAUUAAUUUCAUGUUGGACAACCAAAUAAUUCAUUUGCAAUUAGAAACAAAACCAUGAAAAAUCACAACAAAAUAAAAAAGGGCCAGAUCAUGGCUCUGUAUAAAUAAAGGCAAAAGAGUUUAUGGGUUCUAAGGAGUACAUAUAGAGCAAAACCAGUUAUUUGGCAAGUAGCUUUUAAAAAAAAAAAAAA